GACGAACGCUGGCGGCGUGCUUAACACAUGCAAGUCGAACGGAAAGGCCCUGCUUUUGUGGGGUGCUCGAGUGGCGAACGGGUGAGUAACACGUGAGUAACCUGCCCUUGACUUUGGGAUAACUUCAGGAAACUGGGGCUAAUACCGGAUAGGAGCUCCUGCUGCAUGGUGGGGGUUGGAAAGUUUCGGCGGUUGGGGAUGGACUCGCGGCUUACCAGCUUGUUGGUGGGGUAGUGGCUUACCAAGGCUUUGACGGGUAGCCGGCCUGAGAGGGUGACCGGCCACAUUGGGACUGAGAUACGGCCCAGACUCCUACGGGAGGCAGCAGUGGGGAAUAUUGAACAAUGGGCGGAAGCCUGAUGCAGCAACGCCGCGUGCGGGAUGACGGCCUUCGGGUUGUAAACCGCUUUCGCCUGUGACGAAGCGUGAGUGACGGUAAUGGGUAAAGAAGCACCGGCUAACUACGUG
This 468-nucleotide ribosomal RNA is filed under the name uncultured bacterium. RNAcentral describes it as "partial 16S ribosomal RNA". It matches the Rfam family "Bacterial small subunit ribosomal RNA", at positions 28 to 507 of the family's 1533-position model. The record is from RNAcentral.